UACGGAGGAUGCGAGCGUUAUCCGGAUUUAUUGGGUUUAAAGGGUGCGUAGGCGGAUCGUUAAGUCAGUGGUCAAAUUGAGGGGCUCAACCCCUUCCCGCCAUUGAAACUGGCGCUCUUGAGUGGAAGAGAAGUAUGCGGAAUGCGUGGUGUAGCGGUGAAAUGCAAAGAUAUCACGCAGAACCCCGAUUGCGAAGGCAGCAUGCCGGCUUCCGACUGACGCUGAAGCACGAAAGCGUGGGGAUCGAACAGG
RNAcentral lists this ribosomal RNA (252 nucleotides) under uncultured bacterium. Its description in RNAcentral is "partial 16S ribosomal RNA". It matches the Rfam family "Bacterial small subunit ribosomal RNA", at positions 524 to 776 of the family's 1533-position model. The record is from RNAcentral.